Molecule: long non-coding RNA, 3681 nt
Filed under: Elaeis guineensis (African oil palm)
Lineage: Eukaryota; Viridiplantae; Streptophyta; Magnoliopsida; Arecales; Arecaceae
Description: long non-coding RNA (EGUI_LNC004786)
Source: RNAcentral
UAUCAGAGAACCAUUCCUUUUUUCUAUUAGGAAAAUUAUCAAAGAGCCCAUACAUCUGUGUCAAAACCUUAUGGGCUCUUAUAUUUUCCGAAUUCUAUUUCCAAACCUCCCUUGGGAACCAAGCAUUCAUCCAAAGAUCUCUCCAUUGCUUUCCUAUUCUUGCUCCAGCAUCCAACAACUGUCAACAUGGUAACUCGAAUCAAUCAUUAUUUAAGGAGUGAAGUGCAAGCAAUACAUUGUAUUGAUACUAGGAUUUAUCCCAACGAGAUUGAACGGCCAGUUGAUGGAACAAGGCCCCAUAACUUCAUACAAUUUAAGUAAGGGCCUGAAAGAUAUGCCAAGUAGUUUGCAGGUGAUGUCUCACAAUUUUUCUCUGUUCCAUCAUUUUUGCCUCAGCAGCAUCAUGAAUCAUCUUAUAAUGGAAAACCUGAGUUUCUUAUACUCUUUUGCUUGUAUCAAAGCUUACAGAUCAGUGAUUGCUUCUGAUAAUAGGGUUCUAUGCAUUUUUCGGAGAUCAACAGGCUUCAAACAAAUGUUUUUCAUAGAUAUAUUGUGGAUUGGUUUUAAAGAAAUAGUUUUCAGUACAAGUUACUUAUGAAAUUACAUUGGCAUAGAAGUGCUAUGAUUUAAUUUAGCAGUAUUACUUUUUUUUGACUAUUUAAGAAAUAGCUUUCUGCAUAUAGAGCAAAUAAAAUAAGUUAUAGAUGUUACUCAGCUCAAGGCAUGCUGGGGAAGAUGCAUCUUUUAGAGUAGAAUUUACCUUAUCCAAAGGAAAAUAGCUGAUCAUGGUCUACUCUCAAGAUAAAUGAAUUGUUAUGUGCUCUCCUCCAAAUGCACUCUAACAAGAGAGAAUCAAGGUCACACUUGAACUUGCCAAAUCUAAAUAUAGUGAAAAUUGUUAGUAAAAUACAUUGAUAAAAAUCUCUUUUGAUUCUCUUUUAUGUAGAUUCAAUCUUCUCAAGUGCUCGUAGAAAAUAUUUUAAUUCACUCAAUUUGUACUCAAUUUACUCUCUCAGUUAUCUUCUGUAUAUUCACUUGUGCUGUUCAGAUGGAUGGAAACAACAAUUUUCUUUUCUAUUUAUAAAUAUGAUAGGAUGAGUGUGAAUGGGAAUCUAGGCAUCCUUUCAUUGGAUGCAUCACUUCACCAUAUGAUCCAUUCGAUCAAGCAUUUUAUCCCAUAGAAUCAUCAUUAGAUCCGAUAUUUCAAGUUACAUCUUUUCUUAAGAAUGCUAUAAGAAACUAGCUUCUUAUGGUAAUCUUUUGAGGCAUCUAUUCGCAUGUCAUGUGAGAAGAGCGAUUAUUUGAGAAGGCUUCUCUUCUCACUUCUUUAGAAAUAAGCAGAAAGAUAAAAAUUAAAUUUUAUCUACUCAAUAAACCAAGUUAUUUGUGAGAUUACACUACCAAUAAAUAGGUAUUUAUUUAAUUUUAUAUCAAAUAUAGAAAUUGAAUGAAUAAACCAAGUUAUUUAGUUUUAUACUCAAUAAACCAAGUUAUUUGUGAGAUCAUUUAAGUGAUAAAUCAACAGAAAGUGGAUGAAUUCUCAACCUUUCGUUAGUUCCAUUGAUUGCAAUUUAGCUUUCUCCCAAUACAUUUUCCAUGGUUAAGUAGCCUAGAGAAUUUCUUGUGCAAAACUUCCAAGCACUAGUUUGGAUCAUUGUUCCCGGCUAUGGUAGAGAUUUGCUCCCCAAAAAAAUUGCAUUCUUGAACUCUACUCCAAAAAACAAAAAAUUCUUAAAAUAUUUUAGUGAAAAAGAGAAGAAAUUGCGUGCUUGAAUUAUUUCCAACUAAGACCGGAAUGAGUAGAAUUUGGAGAUCUUUUUCCACAAGUUCUCAUGUUUAUGAGGUUGCUAUGAAUGUACUCUGUAUAUAGACAUGCAUGCCUUAGCUUACACGCUGCACUGCAAUCGGAAUUGGGACUGCUAAAAUUCCACUAAAAGUGAGAAUGGUCACUGGGUUCUGUUAAGAAAUCACAUUGCAACAAAAGCCAAUUUGGUUAUGAGAAACUUGCCAGUAGACCCCUUAUGCAAACUAGAUGGAAUCCAAAAUGAAAAAACUAACAAUAUUUUCUUCAAAUGUAAAUUCUCUAUCUAUCUUUGGAAGGAGCUUCAGACCUUGGAAUAUCAAUAUGUGGGAAUUAAACAUCAACAGCUGCUGGUCUGAGUUGUGAAAGACAUCAAAAUUAGUAAUAAAUUGUAGACAUUUUGCGACGUGGCGGUCGCAGAGUUGUGUUCAAGCAUCUGGCUUGAGUGGAACACUGGGGAGUUCAAUUCAAAGAGCAAAGGCCAAGAAGGUAAGAAGAGGAAUGUGCUUCUUCAUCUCCUCUUAGAUCUCAAUUAAAAACUAGACUUGCAAAGAGUUGUCAAGGUGUUCAAAGACACCUCUCUGUGGCUUAUGUAAGCCCUGAUACACUUGCCUUUUCCUCCCUGUACCUAAUGACCCCUUUCUUUUCAUUGUUUCAAAACCUCUAUCUUCUCCUGUUACUCGGCUAUACUCUCGUGUACUAUUGGUUCACGUUCCUAAUAAAUUUCUGAUGGGUCUACCAUCUUUUCAUUAAAAAAAAAAGCAUGCAGCCAUGUUUGUCUUUUAGAUAAAAAGGACAAUUAUUUUCUAAUCAAUUGCUUCUAAAUUGUUCCACUGAAUGCACUGGUAUCACUGGAUAAUUGCAAGAGCUCAUAGGAGAAGGGAGCUAAGGAUUAAACUCCAGAGCUUCACUAGAUCAUGUCUUUUGUAUUAUGCAAAAGGUUUCUCCAAGGCGAGCCGACUGGAAUUAGAUUAGUUGUUGAGCAAACUCUGAGGGUAAGUGAAUGCCUUUUAGAAAAAAAGGAAGAAACUUACUGUGAAGGCAAAGUGGACAUAAAUCACUUAGAGAAUGAUAAUGUGAUACACACAGAAAAAAAGAUGUGAUCGAACCAUCCUUGUUUAAAUCAUCUUCAACAUGUGAUCAAGAUAUGUCAUAUGAUUGGAUGCAUACAUGCAUUAAUGAUGAACCUGCACAAAAGUCUGUUGAUAGGCAAGAUGUAGUUGAAUGUUUAGUUGUAUUAAACAAGGGAUUUCAGGUUACAUCUCCAACCAUUCUGUUGGUAAUGUUGGAUUUGAGAGUAUAUACUUUGCCGCUAUUUAAGGCACUUGAUCCAUAUAAAGAACAAAAACUAAUGCAUCUUUAUGCUAAUUCAUAAGCAGGGAACAAGACAAUUUAGUCUCAUACAACAGCAAUUUCGGCACAAACAGUUUCUUUGAAACACUGAGAAGAACUAACCACACUACCGAAUGACAGAAACAAUCCCUGACUAUCUUAAAUUCACUAGUUAGCUUCACAAAGCUCAGCUUACAUAUUAGUAUGUUUCCCUCCAACAUAAUCUUUUACAACCAAGUUGCCACCCUUUCCAUGCAAGGCAUGAAAGCCUAAUAUUGAAGUCCAUGAUGAUCCCACUAAGAAAGAAAUUAGACACAUGUUUUCAUUUCUUGGCACAGUUAUUUGCCUGACUUGCUUAGAAACUUGAGCAAUGGAAAGAAAUGCAGCUUAAUUUGGGCCAUCAUAAACCCUAAAACACAAACUUCUCGCAUGGUAUUGUGAUACCCCAGUCCACCAACCCAACCACCAGGCCAAAAAAAAAAAACCUUAGAAAGAAAGAAAGAGGUCUAAAAUGAUUGGCAUGAAUCUUAAAGCAUCAAAAAGAAGAA